RNAcentral lists this ribosomal RNA (275 nucleotides) under uncultured Thermus sp. RNAcentral describes it as "partial 16S ribosomal RNA". It matches the Rfam family "Bacterial small subunit ribosomal RNA", at positions 1107 to 1382 of the family's 1533-position model. Lineage: Bacteria; Thermotogati; Deinococcota; Deinococci; Thermales; Thermaceae. The record is from RNAcentral.
GCCGUUAGUUGCCAGCGGUUCGGCCGGGCACUCUAACGGGACUGCCCGCGAAAGCGGGAGGAAGGAGGGGACGACGUCUGGUCAGCAUGGCCCUUACGCCUGGGCGACACACGUGCUACAAUGCCCACUACAAAGCGAGGCCACCCGGCAACGGGGAGCUAAUCGACAAAAAGGUGGGCCCAGUUCGGAUUGGGGUCUGCAACCCGACCCCAUGAAGCCGGAAUCGCUAGUAAUCGCGGAUCAGCCAUGCCGCGGUGAAUACGUUCCCGGGCCUU